This 258-nucleotide ribosomal RNA is filed under the name gamma proteobacterium WD530. RNAcentral's name for it is "partial 16S ribosomal RNA". It matches the Rfam family "Bacterial small subunit ribosomal RNA", at positions 387 to 637 of the family's 1533-position model. Lineage: Bacteria; Pseudomonadati; Pseudomonadota; Gammaproteobacteria. The record is from RNAcentral.
UGCANCCAUGCCGCGUGUAUGAAGAAGGCCUUCGGGUUGUAAAGUACUUUCAGCGGGGAGGAAGGCGAUAAGGUUAAUAACCUUGUCGAUUGACGUUACCCGCANAAGAAGCACCGGCUAACUCCGUGCCAGCAGCCGCGGUAAUACGGAGGGUGCAAGCGUUAAUCGGAAUUACUGGGCGUAAAGCGCACGCAGGCGGUCUGUCAAGUCNGAUGUGAAAUCCCCGGGCUCAACCUGGGAACUGCAUUCAAAACUGGC